GGGGAUGUGGCUUAGUGGUAGAGCACUUGCCUCACAUGUGCAAGACCCUGGGUUCGAUCCUCAGCACCACA
RNAcentral lists this transfer RNA (71 nucleotides) under Marmota monax (woodchuck). RNAcentral describes it as "tRNA.Val". It matches the Rfam family "tRNA". Rfam says of the family: Transfer RNA (tRNA) molecules are approximately 80 nucleotides in length. Their secondary structure includes four short double-helical elements and three loops (D, anti-codon, and T loops). Further hydrogen bonds mediate the characteristic L-shaped molecular structure. tRNAs have two regions of fundamental functional importance: the anti-codon, which is responsible for specific mRNA codon recognition, and the 3' end, to which the tRNAs corresponding amino acid is attached (by aminoacyl-tRNA synthetases). tRNAs cope with the degeneracy of the genetic code in two manners: having more than one tRNA (with a specific anti-codon) for a particular amino acid; and 'wobble' base-pairing, i.e. permitting non-standard base-pairing at the 3rd anti-codon position. The record is from RNAcentral. Lineage: Eukaryota; Metazoa; Chordata; Mammalia; Rodentia; Sciuridae.